RNAcentral lists this unclassified non-coding RNA (378 nucleotides) under plant metagenome. RNAcentral describes it as "partial contains 5.8S ribosomal RNA, internal transcribed spacer 2, and large subunit ribosomal RNA". The stretch from base 1 to 105 matches the Rfam family "5.8S ribosomal RNA", at positions 50 to 154 of the family's 154-position model. The record is from RNAcentral.
GAAAAGCGAUAAGUAAUGUGAAUUGCAGAAUUCAGUGAAUCAUCGAAUCUUUGAACGCACCUUGCGCUCCUUGGUAUUCCUUGGAGCAUGCCUGUUUGAGUAUCAUGAAAUCUUCAAAGUAAAUCUUUUGUUAACUCAAUUGGUUUCUACUUUGGUAUUGGAGGUCUUUGCAGCUUCACACCUGCUCCUCUUUGUUCAUUAGCUGGAUCUCAGUGUUAUGCUUGUUUCCACUCGGCGUGAUAAGUUAUCUAUCGCUGAGGACACUGUAAAAGGUGGCCAAGGUAAAUGCAGAUGAACCGCUUCUAAUAGUCCAUUGACUUGGACAAUACUUUUAUGAUCUGAUCUCAAAUCAGGUAGGACUACCCGCUGAACUUAAGC